UCAUGAUUUGAUUAACAUAGUGCUCGCUCAUCUCCUUUCUUAUCUUUACCUACGGUCAAUCCAUAUUCCAUACCAUAUCCCUUUAUCCCUCCUAUCUUUAUUUAAAGCAGGGGAAAUUCUCCAAGAAAAUUCUUGGUAGAGUCCCUAGCCAUUUGAAGAACACUCCAAAAGGACAUUAACAACAUACAAUGAGUAAUAAAGAUAUGAAGGUUGAAAUUCCAUCAGAAUCUGAAGUUAUAUCUCCAUCAUCUACUGGAAAGCUUGCUAGACAAGGAAGUAUUUCCAGAAAUAAUUGCUUAUGCUCCCCAACAACUCAUGCAGGUUCCUUCCGUUGCAGGCUUCAUCGUACCCCGACCCUGACCCUCAACCAGAGUAAGAGCAUCGACUCAACGGCUUUCCAGGAUACUCGAUCCAAAGCCAAUCCGAGUACUGAUACUUCCAGGCAAAAUAAUGCAGUGGAGGCUCAGUAAUAUGAACAAUCAAGUCGUUUUUCUACUGUUUCUGUGAUUGAUUUAUGGGCUUUAUGCAAGUUUUAUAUGUGAUUUAUAGAUCGUCUGUUAUGCAUAUCAGAAGUCCUAGCAAGAAAAAUGUUGUAUCCCCAUGUAUGAAUUCUAUGUAUUGGUUAAUUUGAGACCUUUUGGUGUA
Molecule: long non-coding RNA, 645 nt
Organism: Olea europaea var. sylvestris
Lineage: Eukaryota; Viridiplantae; Streptophyta; Magnoliopsida; Lamiales; Oleaceae
Exons: 2
Source: RefSeq, a predicted model, not a curated record